RNAcentral lists this ribosomal RNA (433 nucleotides) under uncultured bacterium. Its description in RNAcentral is "partial 16S ribosomal RNA". It matches the Rfam family "Bacterial small subunit ribosomal RNA", at positions 29 to 507 of the family's 1533-position model. The record is from RNAcentral.
AACGAACGCUGGCGGCAUGCCUAACACAUGCAAGUCGAACGAGACCUUCGGGUCUAGUGGCGCACGGGUGCGUAACGCGUGGGAACCUGCCUUUAGGUUCGGAAUAACUCAGAGAAAUUUGAGCUAAUACCGGAUGAUGUCUUCGGACCAAAGAUUUAUCGCCUUUAGAUGGGCCCGCGUUGGAUUAGCUAGUUGGUGGGGUAAAGGCCUACCAAGGCGACGAUCAAUAGCUGGUCUGAGAGGAUGAUCAGCCACACUGGGACUGAGACACGGCCCAGACUCCUACGCGAGGCAGCAGUGGGGAAUAUUGGACUAUGGGCUAAAGCCUGAUCCACCUAGGCCGCUUGAGUGAUGAAGGCCUUAGGGUUGUAAAGCUCUUUUACCCGAGAUGAUAAUGACGGUAUCGGGAGAAUAAGCUCCGGCUAACUCCGUG